RNAcentral lists this ribosomal RNA (497 nucleotides) under uncultured bacterium. RNAcentral's name for it is "partial 16S ribosomal RNA". It matches the Rfam family "Bacterial small subunit ribosomal RNA", at positions 28 to 507 of the family's 1533-position model. The record is from RNAcentral.
GAUGAACGCUGGCGGCGUGCCUAAUACAUGCAAGUCGAGCGAACAGACGAGGAGCUUGCUCCUCUGACGUUAGCGGCGGACGGGUGAGUAACACGUGGAUAACCUACCUAUAAGACUGGGAUAACUUCGGGAAACCGGCGCUAAUACCGGAUAAUAUAUUGCACCGCAUGGUUCAAUAGUGAAAGACGGUUUUGCUGUCACUUAUAGAUGGAUCCGCGCCGCAUUAGCUGGUUGUUAAGGUAACGGCUUACCAGGGCAACGAUGCGUAGCCGACGUGAGAGAGUGGUAGGCGACCUGGGAGCUGAGACGCGGUCAAGGCUCCUACGGGAGGCAGCAGUAGGCAAUGGGACGCAGUGGGCGAAAGCAUUGCGGAGCAAGGCCGAGUGAGUGAUAGCGGCCUUCGGAUCGUGAUACUGUGUUAUGAGGGAAGAACAAAUGUGUAAGUAGCUAUGCACGUCGUGACGGUACUUGAUCAGAAAGCAACGGCUAACUACGUG